GACUGGUCCAAAGGCAGUGAGUUAUCUCAAUGGGCUGUUUGCAGUCAGUCACAGAUGUGACUCCUUGUUCUACUCUUCCCCCUGCCCCCGUUCUCACUAUUGUACUUCACACGUCUUCC
Molecule: Y RNA, 119 nt
Filed under: Saimiri boliviensis boliviensis (Bolivian squirrel monkey)
Lineage: Eukaryota; Metazoa; Chordata; Mammalia; Primates; Cebidae
Description: Y RNA (ENSSBOG00000011564.1)
Rfam family: Y RNA
About the family: Y RNAs are components of the Ro ribonucleoprotein particle (Ro RNP), in association with Ro60 and La proteins. The Y RNAs and Ro60 and La proteins are well conserved, but the function of the Ro RNP is not known.
Source: RNAcentral